This 492-nucleotide ribosomal RNA is filed under the name uncultured bacterium. Its description in RNAcentral is "partial 16S ribosomal RNA". It matches the Rfam family "Bacterial small subunit ribosomal RNA", at positions 29 to 507 of the family's 1533-position model. The record is from RNAcentral.
AGUGAACGCUGGCGGUAGGCCUAACACAUGCAAGUCGAACGGCAGCACAGUAAGAGCUUGCUCUUACGGGUGGCGAGUGGCGGACGGGUGAGGAAUACAUCGGAAUCUACUUUUUCGUGGGGGAUAACGUAGGGAAACUUACGCUAAUACCGCAUACGACCUACGGGUGAAAGCAGGGGAUCUUCGGACCUUGCGCGAUUGAAUGAGCCGAUGUCGGAUUAGCUAGUUGGCGGUGUAAAGGCCCACCAAGGCGACGAUCCGUAGCUGGUCUGAGAGGAUGAUCAGCCACACUGGAACUGGGACACGGUCCAGACUCCUACGGGAGGCAGCAGUGGGGAAUAUUGGACAAUGGGCGCAAGCCUGAUCCAGCCAUACCGCGUGGGUGAAGAAGGCCUUCGGGUUGUAAAGCCCUUUUGUUGGGAAAGAAAAGCAGCAGGUUAAUACCCCGCUGUUCUGACGGUACCCAAAGAAUAAGCACCGGCUAACUUCGUG